UGGGGAAUCUUGCACAAUGGGGGCAACCCUGAUGCAGCGACGCCGCGUGAGUGAUGAAGCCCUUCGGGGUGUAAAGCUCUUUCGGCAGGGACGAUAAUGACGGUACCUGAAGAAGAAGCUGCGGCUAACUACGUGCCAGCAGCCGCGGUAAUACGUAGGCAGCGAGCGUUGUUCGGAGUUACUGGGCGUAAAGAGUGCGUAGGCGGUUUUCAAGUUUGGUGUGAAAUCUCCCGGCUUAACUGGGAGGGUGCGCCGAAGACUGGAAGGCUUGAGUAUGGGAGAGGUAAGCGGAAUUCCUGGUGUAGCGGUGAAAUGCGUAGAUAUCAGGAGGAACACCUGCGGUGUAGACGGCUUACUGGACCAUCACUGACGCUGAGGCACGAAAGCGUGGGUAGCAAACAGGAUUAGAUACCCUGGUAGUCCACGCCUAAACGAUGCAUACUGGUGUGGGUAGUUCAUUCUAUCCGUGCCGGAGCUAACGCGUUAAGUA
This 490-nucleotide ribosomal RNA is filed under the name uncultured Acidobacteriota bacterium. RNAcentral describes it as "bacterial SSU rRNA". It matches the Rfam family "Bacterial small subunit ribosomal RNA", at positions 355 to 866 of the family's 1533-position model. The record is from RNAcentral. Lineage: Bacteria; Pseudomonadati; Acidobacteriota.